Molecule: ribosomal RNA, 425 nt
Filed under: uncultured bacterium
Lineage: Bacteria
Description: partial 16S ribosomal RNA
Rfam family: Bacterial small subunit ribosomal RNA
Source: RNAcentral
GUGGGGAAUAUUGGACAAUGGGCGCAAGCCUGAUCCAGCCAUGCCGCGUGAGUGAUGAAGGCCUUAGGGUUGUAAAGCUCUUUUGUCCGGGAAGAUAAUGACUGUACCGGAAGAAUAAGCCCCGGCUAACUUCGUGCCAGCAGCCGCGGUAAUACGAAGGGGGCUAGCGUUGUUCGGAAUCACUGGGCGUAAAGCGCACGUAGGCGGACCAUUAAGUCAGGGGUGAAAGCCUGGAGCUCAACUCGAGAACUGCCUGUGAUACUGAUGGGCUCGAGUAUGGAAGAGGUUGGUGGAACUGCGAGUGUAGAGGUGAAAUUCGUAGAUAUUCGCAAGAACACCGGUGGCGAAGGCGGCCAACUGGUCCAUUACUGACGCUGAGGUGCGAAAGCGUGGGGAGCAAACAGGAUUAGAAACCCCAGUAGUCC